CCNGCCCUUGUACACACCGCCCGUGGUACUUACCGAUUGAUGGGUCGGUGAGGCCUUCGGACUGGCCCAGGAGGGGUGGCAACGACCCCCCAGGGCCGAAAAGUUGGUCAAACCCCGGUCAUUUAGAGGAAGUAAAAGUCGUAACAAGGUUUCCGUAGGUGNACCUGCGGAAGGAUCAUUACCGAGUGUAGGGUUCCUAGCGAGCCCAACCUCCCACCCGUGUUUACUGUACCUUAGUUGCUUCGGCGGGCCCGCCAUUCAUGGCCGCCGGGGGCUCUCAGCCCCGGGCCCGCGCCCGCCGGAGACACCACGAACUCUGUCUGAUCUAGUGAAGUCUGAGUUGAUUGUAUCGCAAUCAGUUAAAACUUUCAACAAUGGAUCUCUUGGUUCCGGCAUCGAUGAAGAACGCAGCGAAAUGCGAUAACUAGUGUGAAUUGCAGAAUUCCGUGAAUCAUCGAGUCUUUGAACGCACAUUGCGCCCCCUGGUAUUCCGGGGGGCAUGCCUGUCCGAGCGUCAUUGCUGCCCAUCAAGCACGGCUUGUGUGUUGGGUCGUCGUCCCCUCUCCGGGGGGGACGGGCCCCAAAGGCAGCGGCGGCACCGCGUCCGAUCCUCGAGCGUAUGGGGCUUUGUCACCCGCUCUGUAGGCCCGGCCGGCGCUUGCCGAACGCAAAUCAAUCUUUUUCCAGGUUGACCUCGGAUCAGGUAG
Molecule: ribosomal RNA, 707 nt
Filed under: Aspergillus flavus
Lineage: Eukaryota; Fungi; Ascomycota; Eurotiomycetes; Eurotiales; Aspergillaceae
Description: eukaryotic LSU rRNA
Rfam family: 5.8S ribosomal RNA (bases 364-517)
Source: RNAcentral